Molecule: ribosomal RNA, 567 nt
Filed under: Microbacterium sp. LT7
Lineage: Bacteria; Bacillati; Actinomycetota; Actinomycetes; Micrococcales; Microbacteriaceae
Description: bacterial SSU rRNA
Rfam family: Bacterial small subunit ribosomal RNA
Source: RNAcentral
AACACGGAGCUUGCUCUGUGGGAUCAGUGGCGAACGGGUGAGUAACACGUGAGCAACCUGCCCCUGACUCUGGGAUAAGCGCUGGAAACGGCGUCUAAUACUGGAUAUGUGACGUGAUCGCAUGGUCUGCGUCUGGAAAGAAUUUCGGUUGGGGAUGGGCUCGCGGCCUAUCAGCUUGUUGGUGAGGUAAUGGCUCACCAAGGCGUCGACGGGUAGCCGGCCUGAGAGGGUGACCGGCCACACUGGGACUGAGACACGGCCCAGACUCCUACGGGAGGCAGCAGUGGGGAAUAUUGCACAAUGGGCGCAAGCCUGAUGCAGCAACGCCGCGUGAGGGAUGACGGCCUUCGGGUUGUAAACCUCUUUUAGCAGGGAAGAAGCGAAAGUGACGGUACCUGCAGAAAAAGCGCCGGCUAACUACGUGCCAGCAGCCGCGGUAAUACGUAGGGCGCAAGCGUUAUCCGGAAUUAUUGGGCGUAAAGAGCUCGUAGGCGGUUUGUCGCGUCUGCUGUGAAAUCCGGAGGCUCAACCUCCGGCCUGCAGUGGGUACCGGCAGACUAUAGUGCG